CAAUAGCGUAUAUUUAAGUUGCUGCAGUUAAAAAGCUCGUAGUUGGAUUUCGGGUGGGAAUGGCCGGUCCGCCGUUUCGGUGUGCACUUGCUACGCCCACCUUGCUGCCGGGGACGUGCUCUUGAGUUCACGCUCGGGACACGGAGUCGGCGAGGUUACUUUGAGUAAAUUAGAGUGUUCAAAGCAGGCCUACGCUCUGAAUACAUUAGCAUGGAAUAACACAAUAGGACUCUGGCCUAUCUUGUUGGUCUGUAGGACCGGAGUAAUGAUUAAGAGGGACAGUCGGGGGCAUUCGUAUUUCAUUGUCAGAGGUGAAAUUCUUGGAUUUAUGAAAGACGAACUACUGCGAAAGCAUUCGCCAAGGAUGUUUUCAUUAA
This 377-nucleotide ribosomal RNA is filed under the name uncultured eukaryote. RNAcentral describes it as "partial 18S ribosomal RNA". It matches the Rfam family "Eukaryotic small subunit ribosomal RNA", at positions 592 to 976 of the family's 1831-position model. The record is from RNAcentral.